Long non-coding RNA from Pseudoliparis swirei, 1160 nucleotides. RefSeq lists it as uncharacterized. The transcript is spliced from 4 exons. The record is from RefSeq and is a predicted model, not a curated record. NCBI's taxonomy places the organism in Eukaryota, Metazoa, Chordata, Actinopteri, Perciformes, Liparidae.
CACCUAAAAAGUAAAUAACUUCACUUUCAAAGUGUCUGGCGUUUAAAAGUUCUGCUUGAGGGUUAAGACGGAUUAAUUCUCACAAGUAUACAAUAAAAAGGGAAGCUUUCUCCUGCUGCAGAGAAGAAUAUUCACUUCACUCUCCAGCUCAAAAUAAAAAAAGGAAGUACAUUUUUUGAUUUUGCAGUACACUGUCCACUGUGUUUGAACUCCUCUGAGAUAAACCUACACACCAAUGCUGAUGUGCGGCAGUAAGAAAAGGGUGCUAAAAUUCUAUCACUUCCUCUUGUGUCAACAUUUACGUAUGCGUCAAUGUGUGUGUGAGCGAGUGAGCAUUGUACAGAAAGGGGUCGAGACCAAUGAAGCAUCGCGUUGCCCUUUAAGUCACUAACACUUUGAUGUGAUUGGGGGAGGCCGAGGUCAGUAAACUCGUUUCCCGAAACAUGACCACCCCAGCCUUCACCGCUGAGCUGUCCGGAAGGCAGAUGUUUACUCAACAAAAUGCCGAAUGCAACGGUCUGAUCUGUACGUCACAGCAAGUGUUUCUACUGGCAUGUUAAGCACAAAUGCAUAAAGGUUAAAGGAAAUCAUUUAUUGGUCAUGGGGUGCCCUAGAGUUGUUUAAUGUAGUCUGUCAAAGGGAAUAAUUCAUGUGACUUCAGGUAUUUGUAGGAUCUGAGGUCACGGACAUUAAAAGAUGCGGCCGUUUACAACGCACACAGGAAUGCUGGGGAGUUGCUUUAUGGAAAGUGGAGCAUCGUGCAUUUUUGAAGGCUGAUCCACCAUAAUGAGUCCUGUGUUUGACCAAACAUCUGCCAUCACCAGCUAUUUGAGGGCACUGAGAUAUGUAACACAAUGCGACCCGACCGUUCACACCUGAUCAUCAUUCCCUUCACCCGGUUCUCACGCCCGUCCCACCUGCAGCCCAUCCCUUCGUUAGUGUCCCCUCACUUCCACUUGUCCUCUGCCAGGUUGUCUUGUGUGUCAUUGCCGAGCUCUCCUGUGUAUUCUCAUAUUGAUUCUGAUCUGCCUGUUCUGACCCUGUUUGCCUGUUUACCUGAAUAAAGAUUUUUUUCCUGGCCCCCUUUGUUGCCCUAUUGAACUGACCACCCGGUUUUGACCCUGCCUGAAAAGACAAGUAAAGAUCCUCUUCUUCUUCCA